Long non-coding RNA from Lucilia sericata (common green bottle fly), 585 nucleotides. RefSeq lists it as uncharacterized. The record is from RefSeq and is a predicted model, not a curated record. Lineage: Eukaryota; Metazoa; Arthropoda; Insecta; Diptera; Calliphoridae. The transcript has 2 exons.
UAAACAAAACCAUGCACAUUUAGACAUCGAAAGACAAAACAUAAUGCUGGCAAAUCAAAACAAUGAACAACAAAUCACAGACCACAAGAAUUAAAAAAAACUACAUACAAUCAACAAGAAAAACUUAACAAACCUAAGCAAAACAAAAACAAAUAAAAUAAACUGGAAACAAAAAAAUCUAUGCAAGCAAAACAAAGCAAGGAACAACAAAAACGAAAGUGCAAUACGAGCCACUAAUGCUUGGAACAUCCAGGAAGAACAUGCCAACUCCCCCGCUAUCAGACCUACAAUCUCAACAAUAUACCCUUCUCACGAAGGUGAAGGUGAUUUUUAUUUGCCGCUGCUUCAAUGUCCACAAUACCACAUCUUCUCGCCAGCUCUUCAAAACGGAAAAAGGUCAACUAUCAAAGUUUGUUUAUUUUCAAAAACACACGACAAAGCUAUCAAAAACUUUACUAUAAAGCUGCUCUAAAACAUCAAUCUGCCCAUUUGGGAGAUAGAUAACACCGACAACCACUGAGAAUUCAUUACCAAAAUUUUCGACAAAUAAAGAUUCACAUAUACCGUGCAUAUAAACUCGAAAAA